RNAcentral lists this unclassified non-coding RNA (1112 nucleotides) under Bombus terrestris (buff-tailed bumblebee). RNAcentral describes it as "misc RNA ENSBTSG00005033622.1". The record is from RNAcentral. Lineage: Eukaryota; Metazoa; Arthropoda; Insecta; Hymenoptera; Apidae.
AGAAUUCAUUUGGUUCAUUUUGCUUAUAGUAAUUGAUAAUAACAACGUAGAGAUAUCUGUAGAAAGAGUUUGAAAAAUUUCGGUAUCAAGUUAAAAAAUUGAAAUGUACCCUAGCAAGAGUAUAAACACUCUCGCUCUACUGUCACUUGACAGGUGGAGCUUAAAUGAAAGUAUAUCUUUACUAUCCAUGUCUCCAUAAACAGAUUUUUAAGAUUCGUUCAAUGACACGUACAAAAACGAGACAUAUUUUCUGCUCAAAUAAAGAUUAUCUAGCGCGUGGCAAUGAUGUUUAUUGCCAUGGUUACCAAACAAAGAUAAGAGUACAAUAGAUCCCUGUAUAACACAGGGGAUAUAUUCGGUGUUUUAUGAGCCACUCAUAGGUUGUUCACUACUGCGGACAAAUCAGGCGUGCUUCGUCACGACGGAUUUCUCUGAUAUUUGCUUAGUUUACUUUUUUCCACUAUAUUUAUUCUAGCGACCUUCUAUGAUUGCAUCUUAUCACGCUACCAUAUAUAUCGUGUUAUAUAAAUACUACCGUAAUUCUUGCACUAUAUUGUACGAAUUCGUCUAAAAUCUAGGGUAUAACACUCAGUAUAACACGUAAAACCACAUAUCACGUUACAGAAGACAUUCACUGGUUCACGAUCAUUCGCAUUUGAUGAUCAAACAUUACUCAUUUGAUAAAAGAAACGUAAAAGUUAGUAAACCAAUUCCACAAUUUGAUCGACGAACGAGCUUUCUUAAGCAAUUCGCGUUUGAAUAUUUUCAUAUAUUUUUUGCUUAAUGUGUUUAAUCAUGUAAAAAGAAUAAAAUCGAAAAAUAAUUUUCAAUUCAUCCUUAUUUUACUUGUUUAGCUACAAAGAUUUUUAAUUAAAUUCUGCGAUUUUCUUUGCUCUCGGUUUUUAGCUCCAAUUCUUUUCGUAUUUCUAUUUAAAUUCUCGUUCUAAUUAAAAAACGAAUAAAAUACUUGGAAGAAAAAAUAAACGUGGAAAUUGAUUAAAAGGGGAUAUUAAUUAAAACUGAUAAUACAUGAAAGAGAAAGAUUUGAUGAAAAUCUAGUUGAAUUUCAAAGUAAUGAAGAAUAAUGAAUUUCAGUUUUCAUAGAACGCAUC